UACGGGGGGAGCAAGCGUUGUUCGGAUUUACUGGGCGUAAAGGGCGUGCAGGCGGCCAAGUAAGCGUUUUGUGAAAUCCCCCGGCUCAACCGGGGAAUUGCUUGACGAACUGCUUGGCUCGAGGGAGGCAGGGGCAACUGGAACUCUGGGUGGAGCGGUGAAAUGCGUAGAUAUCCAGGGGAACGCCGGUGGAGAAAUCGGGUUGCUGGGCCUUACCUGACGCUGAGGCGCGAAAGCCAGGGGAGCGAUCCGG
This 253-nucleotide ribosomal RNA is filed under the name uncultured bacterium. Its description in RNAcentral is "partial 16S ribosomal RNA". It matches the Rfam family "Bacterial small subunit ribosomal RNA", at positions 524 to 776 of the family's 1533-position model. The record is from RNAcentral.